Loxodonta africana (African savanna elephant) is the source of this 15651-nucleotide RNA transcript. It is a transcript of the gene named OX-2 membrane glycoprotein-like, with no coding region annotated. The transcript is spliced from 7 exons. Lineage: Eukaryota; Metazoa; Chordata; Mammalia; Proboscidea; Elephantidae. The record is from RefSeq and is a predicted model, not a curated record.
CACACGAUGAAGGUCUCCACCCAAUGAAUCGCCUGGCUCAGCCUUCGGCUCCCGGAGGGCUGCAGCCUGACAGGCGGGUCCUGCGCCAGAGGUGAGGCCGGCCACUCCCGCGGCCGGGAGCGAAGAUGGAGAGGCCGGUGCUCGGGAGGCUCUCCUACCGUCUGUCUGCCUGGAGUCUGAUUUGGGGCAUGGCAGCUGUGGUGCUGUGCAGGGCACAAGGGCAAGUGGUGACCCAGGAUGAAAUAGAGCUGCUGAACACUCCCGCUUCCUUAAGAUGCUCUCUGCAAACUGACAAGGAAGUCUUGAUUGUGACAUGGCAGAAAAUAAAGGCUACAAGCCCAGAAAACAUGGCCACCUUCAGCGAGAACCAUGGGGUUGUAGUUCAGCCUCCCUAUAAGGACAGGGUGAACAUCACACAGCUGGGGCUCCGAAACUCAACCCUAACCUUCUGGAAUACCACCGUGGAGGAUGAAGGGUGCUUCAUGUGUCUCUUCAAUACCUUUGGAUCUGGAAAGAUCUCUGGAAAAACCUGCCUCACCCUCUAUGUGCCGCCCACAGUAUCCCUUCACUACGAAUUCUUUGAAGAAGGCUUAAAUAUCACCUGUUCUGCCACUGCCCGCCCAGCCCCUGUGAUCUUCUGGAAGGUGGCUGGGUCCGGAAUUGAGAACAGUACCAAGACUGUCUUACACCGCAAUGGGACCACGUCUGUCACCAGCAUCCUGCAGGUCAAAGACCCCAAGAGUCAGGUGGGGAACGAGGAGGUGAUCUGCAAGGUGCUGCACUUGGGGACUGUGACUGACAUCAGGCAAACCGUGAGCAAAGCUUUAGGAUCUCAGGGUUUACUGCAAACCACGACUUUCCUGAGCCACCUCCUCCUGCAUGAAGUUCAAAGGCCCACCACUGACUGGCCUUGGAUGUACCUUCAGCUUCUUUGGCAGGCAACAGGAGGCAAGAGGCAGCCCGCAAUACACAGAAGAGAAGCAGCUGGAAGCUCUGACUGACUGACCCACGAGAACGGAGGGCUGAGGAGGUAGAAACUGCUGGGUCAUAUGUGAUAGAUUCUUUGUGAUGAGAAGAAGAAUAAAGCCAGGCAAAGACUGGAUGUGAAUACUCUGAACAAUCUCCCUGAAACUGGCAAUCUGUCAAAUCUUAGCACAAGAUUGAGAGGGCACAUGAAGGGAGAAAAACAAGCUUGCAUUUUAAUAUACUUUUUUUAUGAAGUGGAAGAAAAAGUGUGUGCCAGGAGUCUGCGGGUGGUGCAAAUAGUUAACGUGCUUGGGCGCUAACCUAAAAGUUGGAGGUUGGAGUCUACCCUGAGGCAUCUGGGGAGAAAGACCUGAUGAUCUACUUCUAAAAAGUCAGCCACUGACAAACUCAUGGCACACAGCUGUACUCUGUCUCAGACACACAUGGGUCACCAUGGAGUCAGAAUCAACUCGAUGGCAACAGGUUUUAAAGGAUAUGCCUAACUCUAUAUUACGGGACCGUGUGGUUCAUGUCCACAAACUUCCCCUGGGGUGUUUUUUUGUGGGGGAGCUUGUUGAGAACUGUUUUUGUGGGGUAAGUUGUUGAGAACUGUUGGGCUAAAGGAACAAAAGACAGUUGAUGAUAGAAAAAAAAAAAAACGCUCAAAGACAGUAUUCUUUAAAUCUUCCUUUGGCUCUUAGAGAAAAACCCUAUUUUAGUCUGAGAAGGCUUGUGUGAUCGCUGUGUCCUCAUAAUGAUUGUGCAUUGCCUUCAUUCAAUUUAUUGAGCUCCUUUUCUGGAGGAGAAAUAUUACAAAAGGUUCAUGGAAAACCAAAUGAAUAGUGACACUGUUGAUGUUAGUAAAGGGUAACUUCUUCCUGUUAAAAUUUAGCUUUCAUAUUGACUCAGAGUUCUUACUUAAGAAAUUUCCCAAGGCAUAUUUUGUUCAUUUACCAAAAAAAGGAAGAGAAAUGCUUACUGACAUCGAAUGUAAGUUGCAGGGGGGACAGGAAAAAGAAGGUUCAAUUCAGAAAGUGACCCUCAAAUUUCAUGAAUAGGAGAAAUAAUGAAGACUGACAGAGGGCUGGAAAAAGGCAAGGGUGGAUUCUCUUCAGCCAAACCCUCUACGCCAUUCCUCUUGCUCCAUCCCUCCGUACAAACUGGGAAAGACCCCUUGACUACACAGUCCCAGCAAGCCUGAGUUCCUUUCCCAUCUUCCUUUUUCUCUCACCAUCAUAUCCCCACCCAAGAAAAAAGACUGAGCAAGGAUCUGGCAGAAGAAGCCACCUGAAGUAGGAGAAUCUCUCUCCUAAGGAGGGGCAGGUUUUAGACCAUGGGCAGGACAGCCCCUCAUAGGCUGGACAGAUGACAGGUGAAAACUUCUGCAAUGCAGGGCCAGAGCCAAGGAGAGGUCCAGGUCGGCUCGAGCAACUAAACACAGAAGAACAUGGGCACUGAUGCCCAGAGCAACCAGUCCCAUCAAGGGCAAAGCUCGGAAGAUGCUCUGGGGUUAAAAGGGCUGAUGUGGCUGAAAGCAGCACAGCUCUCUCCCCCUCCUGGACUCUAAUCUCCUUGAAGAUAGAGGCCAUAUCUUAUGCAUCUUCUGUGCUAUUGCCCAGCAGAGUUCCAGCAUAUUCUUGUUGCAUAAAUGAAGAGAUGGAGUGCUGAGUAACCGCACUAAGGACCCCUGGUUCCAUCAGAAAGAACCAUCAUUACUGCAGGAAAAGAGUCAUCAAACACUGUUAGGUUUCUCAGGGUGUGGUCACUUCUCUGGAGUCCCUGGGUGGUGUAAAUGUGCCUGGGUGCUAACCAAAAGGUUAGAAGUUUGAGUCCACCCAGAAGUGCCCCAAAAUAAAUCUGCUUCCAAAAAAAUCAGCCACUGAAAAACCCUGUAGAGCACAGUUCUACGGUCUACUCAACAGCAACUUCUUCUUACUGGAGCACUUCUCUUCCACCAGCUAUUCGUCGUAAUUCGUGGAGGCAGUUUCAAUGGUGUUUAGCUCACUCUAUCUUCUCUCCUUCAGGAUUAUUAGGGCAAAGCUGAAUCCUAACCGUGGCUUGCUUCUCAAGUGUGAAGGGAAAAGGAUAAUGCCAAUAAAUAAAUAAAUUCUCUAGAAAAACAAACAAUAUACUUAAUUUCCUCUUUGAAAGAAUGGAAAGUGAAUGUAAACUUAUUUUUUCUACUGAAAUCUCUUUAUCUUCUGUUAUCAUCCAUUCAAGUUAUGCCUUUCCGUCUCAGUAGUUUUCCCACGUAAAUAUGACAGAAUAUGUUUUAGGGUUAUUGACACUGUAGUAUAGUUGAGUAAAAGUUAGAAAAAAAAUCAGAGAUUCAAAUCAUUCUGUUUCAGUAAUUAUGCAGCAACAUAUUUUUAACAAUAAACUAUAUUUUUGCAUCGGUAGGGAAGGAGCUUCAUUAAAAUACCAAAGUGAAUCUUCAGUUUUUGAGAAUUGCCCCAAGUGUUGCCUUGUUCUGACUGAUGAUAUUGAGCUUCUCCACUGUUUUUGUUCACAGAUGUAGUUGACUUGAUUCCUGUGUAUUUCAUCUGGUAAGGUCCAAGUGUAUAGCUGCCAUUUAAGUUGUUGAAAAAAGGUAUUUCCAAUGAACAGAUCUUUGGUCUUGCAAAAUUCCAUCAUGAAAUCUCUGACAUUGUUUCUCUCACCAAAGCUAUAUUUUCCUAGUACUGAUCCUUCUUCUUGGUGUCCAAUUUUUGCAUUCCAAUCACCAGUAAUUAUCAAUGCAUCCUGAUUGCAUGUUUAAUCAAUUUCAGGCUGCAGAAGUUGGAAAAAUCUUCAGUAAAAGUUUAAAAGUGAGAAACUAAUUUGCACUGUAAACUUUCACCUAAAGCACGAUAAAUUUUUUUGAGUGUAAAUGUACUAAAUUUCUAGUUAUUAAUGAUAAUGUGAUAAAUGCCAUUUUCCAACAUGUUUUUAAGAUGUUUUUGGUGUCAGCCACCUGGGGUUGGAGAGAUUUUGAUACAUCUUUGAGAAACUGGAUAUUUUAAUGUGAGUCAUCAUCACUUUGUGAAAUAAUCCAGCCAUUUACUAAAGAAAUAAAUAAGCAACUAUCAAUAACAUGCCUGGGUGCCAAAGGGCAAAGUGGACAGGUAUUCAGAUUUGCUACAAUAUAUUAUCUAAUAAGUCCAGUUUCCAACAAAAAUUAUGAGAUGGUCAAAGAAACAGAGAAGCCUGACUCAUACACUGGGGAAAAAAACAGGCAACAGAAAAUGCCUGUGAGAGCAGCCAGAUGUCUGAUGUAACAGAAAAAGAGUUCAAAUUAGCCAAUAUAAAUAUUUGCAAAGAACAAAAGGAAAGUAUGAUUAAAGAAGUAAUGGAAGAUGUGAUAACACUGUUGCAUCAAAUAGUGAAUAUCAAUACAGAAUUAGAAAUUAUAAAAAAUAACUAAAUGGAAAUUCUAGAGUUGAAAAGUACAAUAACUGAAAUGAAAAAUUUACUACAGGAGAUCAACAGUAGAUUUCAACUGACAUAAGAAAUAAUUAGCACACGUGAAGACAAAUUGAUAGAAAUUAUGCAAUCUGAAGAACAGAGAGAAAAAAAGAUGAAGAACGCCUCAGAGAAAUGUGGGAAACCAUUAAGAGCACCAACAUACAUGUAACAGGAGCACCAAAAGGAGGGGAAAGAGAGAAAAGAGCAGGAAAAAAAAUUGAAAUAAUAAUGGCUGAAACUUACAAAAAUUAUUUAAAAGCACUAAACUAUACAUCCAGGUGAACUCCAAGUAGGAAAAAAAAAUUUUUUUUUUUUAAAAGAGAUCCACAAAUCGGCAUAUCAUAGUAAAAAUGCUGAAAGUCAAGGACGAAGAAAAUCUUGAAAGUAGCAAGAGAAAAUGACUCAUUACUUACAAGGAUUUCACGAUAAAAUUAGCAUCUAACUUCUCGCUAGAAAAAAAUGAAGGUCAGAAGGCAAUGAAAUAACAUAUUCAAAGUGCUCAAAGGCAAAAACAAGAAAACCUGUCAACUAAGAAUCCUAUAUCCAGCCACAUUACCUUUCAAAAAUUAAGGGAAAAUAAAGACAUUCCCAAAUCAACAAAACUGAGAGAAACUGUGACUAGCAUAACCACCUUAUAAGAAGGGAAUUCUUCAGGCCAAAAGUAACUUCAGAUGGCAAUUUGAAUCCACAUGUACACAGAGAGAGAGAGAACACAAAGAUCCCUGGUAAAGGUAUUUAUGUCAUUAUAAAAGGUAGUACGAAUGUACAUUUUUUCUCUUUUCUUCACCUAACAGAUUUGAAAACAAUUGUAGAGGCAUAGCCAAGAUGGCGGAAUAGACAGACAUUUCUGGUGAGCCCUCUUUACAACAAAGACCUUAAAAAAACAAGAGAAACGAGUAUGUUUAUGACAAGCUGGUAGCCCUGAGCUUCAAAAACAAGCUUAGAAAAUGAAGCGAGGGGCAGGGGGAGGAAGAGACUGUUCAGAAGCAGAGAGGAGUUACUGGACCUGAAUCACAGGAAGCCCUCAGGCACCAUUCCUGGAGCAGCAACGGCAGCGGUGGGCUGCUACUAGCUUUCUGCUGCAGUUUCCUCAGGGAGAAGCAGCCAGACACACAGCCUAGUCACGCCUCUAGAACCUGAGGAGAAUGGUGCUCUCAGCAAAAGCUAAGUACUUGCGUAUAUUUUACCACGCUCCGCACUCCCAACCUGGCUUCAGCAGCUGUAUUCCCUGGACCUGAGAUAGGCCCUGUUAAGCACCUAGAGCCAUCCUCCUGGCCUUGGGGAAGGAAAAGAUUUGCAAUUGGGGGAAAAGAUAUUUUGCAAGCUCCCUAAUGGGAGAGCUCAGGACAGAAGUGGCUCCUGUCCAGGCAUAAACAGUCUGUGGCAUUUGAGCACCUUUCCCUUCUAUGUGGACCUGUGUGGGCCUAUUUCGGGAGAAUAGGCCCUUGUUGGUGGACUCCAACUGUUUCAGCUGUGAGGUGGAAAGGUGGAGGUUUGAUGUUUGACAUUGCUUUGUCUAUUAAACAAGGUCCUUGCCUACCUACACCAGGGACCUAAGGACUGAUAGCUCCACUCAGGUCACCCAGCCGCCCGCGACAGGGGUCCAAGGAUAACUGGUACCUCCCAGUCCUUAUAACCAAAAACUUUGGGUGCCCAUGGUCUGUCUGCAGAACCUACCCACUGGCAUGCUCUAGGGAAGAGGGACACACUUUCCUCAGAGACACUCAGGGGUCAGUUCUCAGCACCCUGCCUUGUUCAGAACAUGGUCCCCUGCUGCAAUCAGAUACUGGUAUAUAUGCCAAACCCCUGCCCCUCUAAGACUGUAGGACAGAGCCUGUACCACACACAUGACUAUGAGCUACCUGGAAAACUGAGCUGAAUUCAUACAAGAAAACUGAAUGAAUUCCUAGAUUGAUAUCCCUGAUACCAGCUCUAGCCAUCUGGGGACAGGACGUCAGAGCUCCAAAGGGGAAGAUAAUCAAGCUCACUCACCCAACAACCCAUUUGGGCAUAUCAAAACAAAACAAAGCAAGAGGCCAUGACCCAGUAAGCAAAUAUAAACUAAUACAAUAACUUAUAGAUGGCUUGGAGACAACAGUCAAUAUCAAGUCACAUAAAGAAACAGACCAUGGUCACCUCAACAAGCUCUCAAAACAAAGGAUCCAGGGAUCUUCUAGAUGAAAGUGCAUUCCUGGAAUUACCAGAGGCAGAAUACAAAAGAUAAAUAUACAGGACCCUUAAAGACAUCAGGAAGGAAAUGAGGCAAUAUGCAGAAAAAGCCAAGGAACACACAAAUAAAGCAAUUGAAGAAAUAAGAAAGAUUGUUCAGGAACAUAAUGAAAAGUUUAAUAAGCUGGAAAAAUCCAUAGAGAGACAGCAAUCAGAAAUUCAGACGAUUAACAAUAAAAUUACAGAAGAAGACAACUUAAUAGAAAGUCAGAGGGGCAGAUUUGAGCAAGUAGAAGCCAGAAUUUCUGAACUCGAAGAUACAUCACUUGGCACUAAUAUCUUUGAAGAAAAAUCAGAUAAAAGAAUUUUAAAAAAUGAAGAAACCUUAAGGAUCAUGUGGGACUCUAUCAAGAGAAAUAACCUACGAGUGAUUGGAGUACUAGAAUAGGAAGGGAUAACAGAAAAUGCAAAGAGAAUUGUUGAAGAUUUGUUGCCAGAAAACUUCCGUGAUGUCGUGAAAGAUGAGAAGAUAUCUAUCCAAGAUGCUCAUCGAACUCCACAUAAGGUAGAUCUUUAAAGAAAGCCGCCAAGACAUAUUAUAAUCAAACUUGCCAAAACCAAAGAUAAAGAGAGAAUUAUAAGAGCAGUGAGGUAUAAAUGAAAAGUCAUCUACAAAGGAGAGCCAAUAAGAAUAAGCUCAGACUACUUGGCAGAAACCAUGCAGGCAAGAAGGUAAUGGGAUGACAUAUUUAAAAAAUUGAAGGAAAAAAAUUGCCAGCCAAGAAUCAUAUAUCCAGCAAAACUGUCUCUUAAAUAUGAAGGUGAAAUUCAGACAUUUCCAGAUAAACACAAGUUUACAGAAUUCAUUAAAAAAAAAAAAAAAAACUAUAAGAAAUACUAAAGGGAGUUCUUUGGUUAGAAAAUCAAUAUUAUCAGCUAUCAACCCAAGACUAGAACACUGGGCAGAGCAAUAAGAAGUCAACCCAGACAGGGAAAUAAAAAAAAAAAAGCAAGAUUAUAAAAAAAAAAAAGAAAGCUCAAAACAGGGUAACAAUAAUGUUAUUAGAUAAAAGAAGAAAACAUUAAAAUAAUAAAGAGGAACUAAGAAAUGUAAUCAUACACCUUCCAUAUGGAGAGAAAGAUACGGCGAUACAAAGAAAUAAAAGUUAGGUUUAAAUUUAGAAAAAUAGGGGUGAAUAAUGAGGUAACCACAAAGGAGACAAACUAUCCUACUCAUCAAAAUAUAAUACAAGAAAAAGAUAGAGACUCAGCAGAAACAAAAUCAACAACAACAAAUAUGAGGAAAGGACAAAUAUACAAUCUACUCAGCACAUAAAGUUAAGUGGCAAAAAGAAACUGUCAACAAUACACAAAAAAAGACAUCAAAAUGAUAGCACUAAGUUCAUAAAAAAAAAAAAAAAUACCUAUCCAUAAUUACACUGAAUGUAAAUGGACUAAAUGCACCAAAGAAGAGACAGAGAGUGACAGAAUGGAUUAAAAAACAUGAUCUGUCUAUAUGCUGCCUACAAGAGACACACCUUAGACUUAGAGACAUAAAAAAAUUAAAACUCAAAGGAUGGAAAAAUAUAUAUAUCAAGCAGCAACAAUCGAAAACAAGCAGCAGUGGCAAUAUUAAUUUCUGACAAAAUAGACUUUAAAGUUAAAUCCAUCAUAAAGGAUAAGGAAGGACACAAUAUAAGGAUUAAAGGGACAAUACACCAAGAAGAUAUAACCAUAUUAAAUAUUUAUGCACCCAAUGACAGGGCUGCAAGGUACAGAAAACAAACUCAACCAGCACUGAAAAGUGAGAUAGACAGCUACACGAUAAUAGUAGGAGACUUCAACACACCACUUUCGGUGAAGGACAGGACAUCCAGAAAGAAGCUCAAUAAAGACAUGGAAGAUCUAAAUGCCACAAUCAACCAACUUGACCUCAUAGACAUAUAUACAGAACACUCCACCUAACAGCAACCAAGUCUACUUUAUUUUCUAGUGCACAUGGAACAUUCUCUACAGUAGACCACAUAUUAGGUCAUAAAGCAAGCCUUAGGAGAAUCCAAAACAUUGAAAUAUUACAAAGCAUCUUCUCUGGCCAUAAGGCCAUAAAAGUGGAAAUCAAUAACAGAAAAAGCAGGGAAAAGAAAUCAUAGACUCGGAAACUGAACAAUACCCUGCUCGGAAAAGACUGGAUUAUAGAAGACGUCAAGGAUGGAAUAAAGAAAUUCAUAGAAUCCAAUGAGAAUGAAAACACUUCCUAUGAGAACCUUUGGGACACAGCAAAAGCAGUGGCUGAGAGUCCAAUUUAUAUCAAUAAAUGCACACAUACAAAAAAAAGAAAAGGCCAAAAUCAAAGAAUUAUCCCUACAACUUGAACAAAUACAAAGAGAGCAACAAAAGAAACCCUCAGGCACCAGAAGAAAACAAAUAAUAAAAAUUAGAGCAGAACUAAAUGAAAUCGAAAACAGAAAAACAAUUGAAAGAAUUAACAAGACCAAAAGCUGGUUCUCUGAAAAAAUCAACAAAAUGGAUAAACCCCUGGCCAAACUGACAAAAGAAAAACAGGAGAGGAAGCAAAUAACCUGAAUAAGAAAUGAGAUGGGAGAUAUUACAGCAGACCCAUCUGAAAUUAAAAGAAUCAUAUCAGAUUACUAUGAAAAAUUGUACUCUAACAAAUUUGAAAACCUAGAAGAAAUGGAUGAAUUCCUAGAAACACACUACCUACCUAAACUAACACAAACAGAGGUAGAACAACUAAGUAGACCCAUAACAAAAGAAGAAAUUGAAAAGGUAACCAAAAAACUCCCAACCAAAAAACCCUGGCCCGGACAGCUUCACUGAAGAGUUCUACCCAACUUUCAGAGAAGAGUUAACAACACUACUACUAAAGGUAUUUCGGAGCACAGAAAAGGAGGAAAUACUACCAAACUCAUUCUAUGAAGCCACCAUCUCCCUGAUACCAAAACCAGGUAAAGACACCACACAAAAAAGAAAAUUAUAGACCUAUACCCCUCAUGAAUGUAGAUGCAAAAAUCCUCAACAAAAUUCUAGCCAAUAGAAUUCAACAACAUAUCAAAAAAAUAAUUCACCAUGACCAAGUGGGAUUCAUACCAGGUAUGCAGGGAUGGUUCAACAUUAGAAAAACAAUUAAUGUAAUCCACCACGUAAAUAAAACAAGAGACGGGAAUCACAUGAUUUUAUCAAUUGAUGCAGAAAAGGCAUUUGACAAAGUUCAAUACCCAUUCAUGAUAAAAACUCUCAGCAAAAUAGGAAUAGAAGGAAAAUUCCUCAACAUAAUGAAGGGCAUUUAUACAAAGCCAACAGCCAACAUCACCCUAAAUGGAGAGAGCCUUAAAGCAUUCCCCUUGAGAUCAGGAAGCGGAGAAGGAUGCCCUUUAUCACUCCUCUUAUUCAACAUUGUGUUGGAGGUCCUAGCCAGAGCAAUUAGGCUAGAUGAAGAAAUAAAAAGCAUCCAGAUUGGCAAUGAAGAAGUAAAAGUAUUUCUGUUUGCAGAUGACAUGAUCUUAUACACAGAAAACCCUAGGGAAUCCUCAAGAAAACUACUGAAACUAAUACAAGAAUUCAGCACAGUAUUGGGAUACAAGAUAAACAUACAAAAAUCAGUUGGAUUCCUCUACACCAACAAAAAGAACAUCGAAGAGGAAAUCACCAAAUCAAUGCCAUUUACAGUAGCCCCCAAGAAGAUAAAAUACUUAGGAAUAAAUGUUACCAGAGAUGUAAAAGACUUAUACAAAGAAAACUACAGGACACUUCUGCAAGAAACCAAAAGAGACUUACAUAAGUGAAAAAGAGUCCUUGCUCAUGGAUAGGAAGACUUAACAUCAUAAAAAUGUCUGUUCUACUAAAAGUGAUCUAUACGUUUAAUGCAAUUUCAAUCCAAAUCCCAACAACAUUCUUUAAUGAGAUGGAGACACAAAUAAUCAACUUCAUAUGGAAUGGAAAGAGGCCCUGGAUAAGCAAGGGAUUACUGAAAAAGAAGAACAAAGUCGGAGGCCUUACUUUACCUGAUUUUAGAACCUAUUAUACCACCACAGUAGUUAAAACAACCUGAUACUGGUACUACAACAAAUACAUGGACCAAUGGAACAGAAUUGAGAAUCCAGACAUAAAUCCAUCCCCAUAUGAGCAGUUGAUAUUCGACGAAAGAACCAAAACAGUUAAAUGGGGAAAAGACAGUCUCUUUAACAAAUGGUGCUGGCAUAACUGGGUAUCCAUCUGCAAAAAAAUGAAACAAGACACAUACCUCACUCCAUGCACAAAAACAAGCUCAAAAUGGAUCAAAGACUUAAAUAUAAAAUCUAAAAUGAUAAAGAUCAUGGAAGAAAAAAUAGGGACAAUGUUAGGAGCACUAAUACAUGGCAGAACGCAGAAGAAAAACUGGAUAACUGGGAACUCCUAAAAAUCAGACACCUAUUAUUAUCUAAAGACUUCACCAAAAGAGUAAAAAGAUUACCUACAGAAAAAGUUUUUAGCUAUGACAUUUUCAAUCAGCACCUGAUCUCUAAAAUCUACAUGAUACUCCAAAAAACUCAACUACAAAAGAGAAAUAACCCAAUUAAAAAUGAGCAAAACAUAGGAACAGACACUUCUCUAAACAAAACAUUCAGGUAGUUAAUAGAUACAUGAGGAAAUGCUCACGAUGAUUAGCCAUUAGAGAAAUGCAAAUCAAAACUACAAUGAGAUUUCAUCUCACUCCAACAAGGCUGGCAUUAAUCCAAAAAACACAAAACAAUAAAUAUUGGAGAGGCUGUGGAGAGAUUGGAACACUUAUACACUGCUGGUGGGAAUGUAAGAUGGUACAACCACUUUGGAAAUCGAUUUGGUGCUUCCUUAAACAGCUAGAAAUAGAACCACCAUAGGAUCCAGCAAUCCCGCUCCUUGGAAUAUAUCCUAGAGAAAUAAGAGCCUUUACGUGAACAGAUAUAUGCAUACUCAUGUUUAUUGCAGCACUGUUUAUAACAGGAAACCCUGGUGGCGUAGUGGUUAAGUACUACGGCUGCUAACCAAAUGGCCAGCAGUUCAAAUUAGCCAGGCGCUCCUUAGAAACCGUAUGGGGCAGUUCUACUCUGUCCUAUAGGGUUGUUAUGAGUCGGAAUUGACUCGACAGCACUGGGUUUUUCUUUUUUGGGGGGAGGUUUACAUUUUUUUUUUUUUUUACAAUAGCAAAAAGAUCAAAGCAACCAAGGUGACCAUCAAUGGAUGAAUGGAUAAAUAAAUUAGGUAUAUUCACACAAUGGAACACUAAGCAUUGAUAAAGAACAGCAAUGAAUCUUUGAAACAUUUCAUAACAUGGAGGAACCUGGAAGGCAUUACACUGGGUGAAAUUAAUCAGUUGCAAGAGGACAAAUAUUGUAUCAGACCACUAUUAUAAGAACUUGAAUAAUAGUUUAAACUGAGAAGAAAACGCUCUUUUAUGGUUAUGAGAGGGGGGAGGGAGGAAGAAUGGAAGAGGAGUAUUCACUAAUUAGAUAGUAGAUAAGAACUACUUUAGAUGAAGGGAAAGACAACACAGAAUACAGGGGAGCUCAGCACAACUGUACUAAACCAAAAGUAAUUUCCUGAAUAAACUGAAUGCUCUGAAGGCCAGCGUAGCAGGGGCAGGGGUUUGGGGGCCAUGGUUUCAGGGGAUGAUUAAGUCAAUUGGCAUAAUAAAAUCUAUUAAGAAAACAUUCUGCAUCCUACUUUGAAGAGUGGCAUCUGGGGUCUUAAAUGCUAGCAAGCAGCCAUCUAAGAUGUGUCAAUGAGUCUCAACCCACCUGGAUCGAAGGAGAAUGAAGAACACCAGGGACACAAGGUGAUUAUGAGCCCAAGAGACAGAAAGGGCCACAUGAACCAGCAACUGCAUCAUCCUGAGACCAGAGGAACUAGAUGGUGCCCAGCUACAACUGAUGACUGCCCUGACAGGGAACACAACAGAGAACCCCUGAGGGAGCAGGAGAGCAGUGGGAUAAAAGACCCCAAAUUCUCAUAAAAAGACCAGACUUAAUGGUCUGACUGAGACUAGAAGGACCCCGGUGAUCAUGGACCUCAGACCUUCUGUUGGCCCAGGACAGGAAUCAUUCCCGAAGCCAACUCUUCAGACAUGGAUUGGACUGGACACUGGGUUGGAGAGGGAUGCUGGUGAGGAGUGAGCUUCUUGGAUCAGGUGGACAGUUGAGACUAUGUUUGUAUCUCAUGCCUGUAAGGGAGAUGAGAGGGUAGAGGGGGUUAGAAGCUGAUGAAAUGGAUGAAAAGAGAGAGUGGAGGGAGGGAGCAGGUCGUCUCAUCAGGGGGAGAGUAAUUGGGAGUAUGUAGCAAGGCGUAUGUGAAUUUUUGUGUGAGAGACUGACUUGUUUUGUAAACCUUCACUUAAAGCACAAUAAAAAUUAUUAGAAAAAACAAUUGUAUAAAAUAACAUGCAUCUAACGUAUUGUUCAGCCUAUAACAUACAGAAAUAUAAUAUAUUUGCAGAUAAGAACACAAAGAAAGUGAAUGGGAGUAAGUGAAAUGCCUGAAGGCUGUGUCCGCCCAUUUCCAACCAGGAGUAAACAGUGUGAUUGAAGCAUACAAUUAAUGCCUAAGGGCUGAAGGAGAAACCAGACUGAGUGUUUCUUUUCAGAGGCACCAUGUAUACAUGAGAAUUGUGGGGGCCAUGCACAUAAUCAGGGCAGGAUGCAUGCACAGAAAACAUCUGGGAAGACCCUGUGCUUUCAACUCAGGCUCACUGCAAGCCAGCCCAAGAUUGUUGCAAGCCACUUCAAGCAUUGAAGGAGGCCCUGGCACACAGUUAAUUUACAAAGAUUGGUACAAUUUUUGUUUGUUUGGUUGGUUUUUCCCCAUUUUCUUGCUUUUUGAUUCUCCUAGGAUCACAAGAAAAUUUCUUUCAAAACACUUCUGGAAAUAGAUUGGUGAACAAAGUCCUAGGUCAUCUCAGAAGGCAGUCUUUGCAAAAGUAAUUGUGGGAGAUCAUCAAUCAAAUGGGCUAUGACAGCCUUCAACAAUUAAAAAAAUAAAUUACAAUCCCCAGGCAAACUGAGCUCCAGACUUCCCACUUUCAAUUAUUCAAAUGUUCCAGUUUCAACAAAAAAUAAUUAGGCAUACAGAGAAACAAGAAAUUAUAACCCAAUUGAAAGAACACAAAAAAAAGAAGUGUCAGAAAUCAUCCCUGUGGAAGCUAAAUAAUGGAAAGACUAGAAAACUUCAAAACAAUAAUAUUUUAAAUAUGCUCAAAGAACUAAAUAAAAACAUGAACCAAAAACUAAAGAAAAUGUGGAAAACCAUACAGGAAUAAAAUGAGAAUUUCAAUAAAAGGAUAGAUGACAGGUUUUAGCUGGCAGAAGAAAGAAUCAGCACACUGGAGACAGGACAAUUGAAAUUAUCAAAUCAUAAGAACAAAAAAGAAAAAGAAUGUAGAAAAGUAAACAGAGACUAAGGGAGUUGAGAGACACCAUCAAGUGAACCAACAUAUACAUUAUGCAAGUGCCAGAAGCAGAAGAUAGAUAGAGAAGGGAAAAAAAAGAAUAGUUGAAGAAAUAAUGGCAGAUGACUUCCCAAAUAUGGUCAAGGACACGAAUUUUUACAUCCAAGAAACUCAACUUAUUUCAGAUAGUAUAAACCCAAAGAGGCCAACUCUGAGAUGCUUUAUAGUCAAAUUCUUAAAAACCAAAGUUAGAAAGUCUUGAAAGCAGAAAAACAGAAGUAAAUUAUCACAUACAAGUAAUCUUCGAUAAGAUUAAAUGUUAGUUUAUCCUGAGAAACCAUAAAGGCCAGAAGGAAAUGAUGACAUAUUAAAAGGUUAAAAAAAAAAAAAAAAAACUGUCAACAAGAGUUUUAUAUCUGGCAAAACCGUCCUUCAAAAAUAAGGGGAAAAAAAAUGAGGGCAAAAUUAAGACAUUUCUAGAAAACAAAAGCUGAGAGUGCUUGCUUUACAACCAGACCUAUACUACAGGAAAUGCUAAGGGUAAUUCUCCAGAGUGAAAUGACACUAAAGUAGCUCAAAGUUGUAUGAAGAAAAAAACUCUCCAGCAGAAGUAAUUUCAUGGACAAAGAUAAAGGCCAGAUGUAUGAGUAUUUUUGGUUUAUAACUCUAAUUGUUAUGUUCUCCAUUAUUUAAAAUGGCAAAUACAUAAAAAAUUAUAAAUUUAUUUUAUUGAAUCCAUGUCUAAAUAUAUAAUUUGUGUUAACAACAACAUAAAGGGGGAAUGAUAGAGGCAUAGAAAUUCUGUAUGUUAAUGAAGUUAAGUUGGUAUCAAUUUAAGCUAGGUUGGUAUAAUGUAAGGAUGUUACAUGUAAUCUCCAUGGCAACCACAUAAAAAUAUCUAAAAUAAAUAAACAUGAGGAAACAAGAAGGGAAUAAAAUGGUUUGCUACAAAAAAUCAACUAAACACAGAAGAAAAUGGUACUGGAAGAAAUUAGGAACAAAAAAGGUAUAAUACACAAGAAAACAACAAAAUAGCAGAAAAAAGCUCUUCCUUAUUGGAAAUUACUUUAAAUGUAAAUGGAUUAAACUCUCCAAUCUAAAGGCAGAAUGGAUUAGAAAACGUGUUCCAUUUAUAUGUUGUGUACAAAAGACAUACUUGAGAUCAAAUGGAAAAAUAGGUUGAAAGUGAAAGGAUGGAAAAAAAUAUUCCACACAAAUAGUAGACUAAAGAGAACUGAGGUGUGUAUCUUAAUAUAAAACAAAAUAGGCUUAAGUAAAAAUAUGUUGCAAGAGUUGGGGGGGGGACAUUAUGUAAUGAUGAAAAGAUCAAUUCAUGAAGAAGAUAUAACAAUUAUAAAUAUGUAUGGAUGUAAAAACAGAGCCCCCAAAUACAUAAAGCUAGUACUAACAGAAUUAAAAUGAGAAACAGACAGUUCUAAAAUAAUAGUUGGAGACUUCAAUACAUCAUUUUAAAUAAUAGUUAGAACACCUACACAGAAAAGCAAUAAGUAAACAGAGAAUUUGAACAAUGCUAUAAAACAACUACACCUAACAGACAUAUAUAGAGCACUCCACUCGGCAACAGCACAGUACACAUUCUUUUUCUCUAGUGCACAUGGAUCAUUUUUCAGAAUAGAUCAUAUGCUAAGACACAA